RNAcentral lists this unclassified non-coding RNA (1165 nucleotides) under Leishmania donovani. Its description in RNAcentral is "gene:LdHU3.21.2500(CDS-product:hypothetical_prote in_conserved)". Lineage: Eukaryota; Euglenozoa; Kinetoplastea; Trypanosomatida; Trypanosomatidae. The record is from RNAcentral.
AGAAAAGCCGCAUCGUCUCUCCCUUAGUGUGUGUCAAGGACAAACAGCAAUACUUUUCCAACCUAGCAAUCGAUCAUGCCCACCUCGAAGGAGGCCGCGGAUCAGAGUCGAAAAUUCGGCUUUAAAGAAACGCGUGAGCAGUACCAGCAGCGGAAGAGGCAAGAAAAGCAAUUGAAAUGGACGGUAAGGCUAUCGAGAGAGGACCUCGGAAAACUGAAAAUCGAAUUGGAGUCCCUGAAGAGAGCCCGUUUUUUGGCACCUCAACAAAACGAACGCAAGCGCCUUGUGCAGCGCAUGAUUCGAGACCUCGAGGCAGCAGAAAACAAGGAGCCCGAGGAGGAGACACCUGUUGUAGCUACAACGCCGCCGGCCGUAGACUCAGACUCGGAUGACGAUAUUUUUUUUGCGAAAGGCACGCUCGUAAAUGACGAGCACAAGCGUCUGUUUAUCCCGCGCUCGAUCCGCAGGAAGCCAGAGGAGAAAAACUGUGAAAAAACUGCUCAGCAGCUUGCUGGCGAGGCCGAAAAAGAGCUUCUUGCUGCUGUGCACGACGAUGACGACAUCGAUUCAUUUCUCGAUUCUCUCCAAUGAUCAUGUGAAACCUUCUGCAUCCCUCCUCUAGCAAGACAGCACUCGCUAGGAGCCUCGCGAAAAACAAUUCUCAUCGCUGCUAUUAAGCACGUGCAAGAACCCAACAGAGGACAAUAGACUCAUGAGUUUGCUUUUUGGGUGAAGGUUUACUAUUCUCAGCGGACGACGGAUUCCUUGCAGCGAAGUAUGAGCUCACUAGAUCGAAAAAGAAGGGAAAAAAGAUGCAAGCUUUUGAACGUGUGCCUUUUGCUAUUGGCCCCGCUUCAACCUGGAAAACAUCUACCAAGUUGGCUUACCUCUCUUGACAUUGCUUGCGCGCUUGAUAAUUUCGGCUUCAGCGAGAGUCUGUCUCACUUGUAGAAUCUGUCUUUGGCUUUCCAUUGGCUGUCGCAUAUGCAAAGGUUCUCUCGUUUUUUCUAACAGCAUCAAAGCAAGACGUUUUUUGUUCGUUUGCGUUGCUAUCAUUCUCUCCGGCUCAUCUUGUCUCUCCCCUUCUCAACCUUUCUUUUUAUGGAUCUUGGCAUGUGUCUCUUAACACGGGCAUCUACAUAUCGCCGCAAUGGCGGUGAGCUAG